RNAcentral lists this ribosomal RNA (110 nucleotides) under Sorex araneus (European shrew). Lineage: Eukaryota; Metazoa; Chordata; Mammalia; Eulipotyphla; Soricidae. The record is from RNAcentral.
GUCUUUGACCAUCCCACACUGAAUGCACCAGACCUUGUUUGAUCUCGGAAGAUAAGCAGGGUCGGGUCUGAUGAGUACUUGGAUGAGAGAAUUCCCUAACUUUUGAAAUU